This 467-nucleotide ribosomal RNA is filed under the name uncultured bacterium. RNAcentral's name for it is "partial 16S ribosomal RNA". It matches the Rfam family "Bacterial small subunit ribosomal RNA", at positions 28 to 507 of the family's 1533-position model. The record is from RNAcentral.
GAUGAACGCUGGCGGCGUGCUUAACACAUGCAAGUCGAACGAUGAAGCCCAGCUUGCUGGGUGGGUUAGUGGCGAACGGGUGAGUAACACGUGAGCAACCUGCCCCUGACUCUGGGAUAAGCGCUGGAAACGGCGUCUAAUACUGGAUAUGUCCCGUCACCGCAUGGUGUGCGGGUGGAAAGAUUUUUCGGUUGGGGAUGGGCUCGCGGCCUAUCAGCUUGUUGGUGAGGUAAUGGCUCACCAAGGCGUCGACGGGUAGCCGGCCUGAGAGGGUGACCGGCCACACUGGGACUGAGACACGGCCCAGACCCCUACGGGAGGCAGCAGUGGGGAAUAUUGCACAAUGGGCGGAAGCCUGAGGCAGCAACGCCGCGUGAGGGAUGACGGCCUUCGGGUUGUAAACCUCUUUUAGAAGGGAAGAAGCGAAAGUGACGGUACCUGCAGAAAAAGCACCGGCUAACUACGUG